Molecule: long non-coding RNA, 723 nt
Filed under: Populus trichocarpa (black cottonwood)
Lineage: Eukaryota; Viridiplantae; Streptophyta; Magnoliopsida; Malpighiales; Salicaceae
Description: long non-coding RNA (PTRI_LNC004011)
Source: RNAcentral
CACCAAAUUCCCCACCACCGCCACACUCACAGCCCCCGCCUCCACCACCAGUUUAUUCUUCACCACCGCCUCCUGUCAAUUCUCCACCUCCCCCAUAUCACUCUCCUCCACCUCCCCCAUAUCACUCUCCUCCACCUCCAUCACCCCCACCUUGUAUAGAACCGCCUCCACCUCCACCACCAUGUGUAGAGUAUUCACCCCCCCCACCCCCUCAAUCGCCCCCCCCACCUUCUCCACCAUCACCAGUGUAUUCUCCUCCACCGCCUCCUACUCCACCUCCCCCACAAUCAUCACCGCCACCACCACCAUCCCUGUCUCCCCCGCCGCCUCCUACACCACCCCCACCAUCUCCGUUACCUCCAUGUGUACGUUCCCCACCACCGCCUCCACCAAAUUCACCACCACCUCCAUCACCAAUAUUCUCCCCACCACCACCUAUUCCUUACUAUUAUAACUCCCCACCACCCCCAUCACCUCCACAUUCGCCUCCACCUCCACAUUCGCCUCCACCACCAGUUUAUCCUUACUUAUCACCUCCACCACCACCUCCUGUCAAUUCUCCACCUCCCCCAGUUUAUUCAUCACCGCCUCCACCCCCACCUUGUAUAGAACCGCCUCCACCUCCACCUCCACCAUGUAUAGAGUAUUCACCACCUCCACCCCCACCUUCAUCGUCACCGCCUCCUCCUAUACAUUAUAAGCCACCACCAUCACCAUCCCCAC